UACGUAGGGUGCGAGCGUUAAUCGGAAUUACUGGGCGUAAAGCGUGCGCAGGCGGCGCGUUAAGACAGGUGUGAAAGCCCCGAGCUUAACUUGGGAAUUGCGCUUGUGACUGGCGAGCUGGAGUGUGGCAGAGGGAGGUGGAAUUCCACGUGUAGCAGUGAAAUGCGUAGAUAUCUGCAGGAACACCCGUGGCGAAAGCGGCGCGCUGGACCACUACUGACGCUGAGGAACGAAAGCUAGGGGAGCAAACAGG
RNAcentral lists this ribosomal RNA (253 nucleotides) under uncultured bacterium. Its description in RNAcentral is "partial 16S ribosomal RNA". It matches the Rfam family "Bacterial small subunit ribosomal RNA", at positions 524 to 776 of the family's 1533-position model. The record is from RNAcentral.